This 490-nucleotide ribosomal RNA is filed under the name uncultured bacterium. Its description in RNAcentral is "partial 16S ribosomal RNA". It matches the Rfam family "Bacterial small subunit ribosomal RNA", at positions 30 to 507 of the family's 1533-position model. The record is from RNAcentral.
AUUGAACGCUGGCGGCAGGCUUAACACAUGCAAGUCGAACGGUAGCAGGAGAAAGCUUGCUUUCUUGCUGACGAGUGGCGGACGGGUGAGUAAUGCUUGGGAAUCUGGCUUAUGGAGGGGGAUAACGACGAGAAACUGUCGCUAAUACCGCGUAGUAUCGGAAGAUGAAAGUGCGGGACCGCAAGGCCGCAUGCCAUAAGAUGAGCCCAAGUGGGAUUAGGUAGUUGGUGGGGUAAAGGCCUACCAAGCCUGCGAUCUCUAGCUGGUCUGAGAGGAUGGCCAGCCACACUGGAACUGAGACACGGUCCAGACUCCUACGGGAGGCAGCAGUGGGGAAUAUUGCGCAAUGGGGGGAACCCUGACGCAGCCAUGCCGCGUGAAUGAAGAAGGCCUUCGGGUUGUAAAGUUCUUUCGGUAUUGAGGAAGGAGUGUAUGUUAAUAGCAUACAUUAUUGACGUUAAAUACAGAAGAAGCACCGGCUAACUCCGUG